UACGAAGGGUGCAAGCGUUGCUCGGAAUUAUUGGGCGUAAAGGGUAGGUAGGUGGUUAUACAAGUCCGGGGUGAAAUCCCUAAGCUCAACUUAGGACGUGCCUUGGAAACUGUAUAACUAGAGUGCUAGAGAGGUUCGUGGAAUUCCAGGUGUAGCGGUGAAAUGCGUAGAGAUCUGGAGGAACAUCAGCGGCGAAGGCGGCGAACUGGAUAGUAACUGACACUGAACUACGAAAGCGUGGGGAGCAAACAGG
This 253-nucleotide ribosomal RNA is filed under the name uncultured bacterium. RNAcentral's name for it is "partial 16S ribosomal RNA". It matches the Rfam family "Bacterial small subunit ribosomal RNA", at positions 524 to 776 of the family's 1533-position model. The record is from RNAcentral.